This 313-nucleotide unclassified non-coding RNA is filed under the name Hevea brasiliensis (rubber tree). Lineage: Eukaryota; Viridiplantae; Streptophyta; Magnoliopsida; Malpighiales; Euphorbiaceae. The record is from RNAcentral.
GUGCAAACCUCCUGUUCAAUUGAACCCUUCAGUUUAGUUUGGUCCAAGAAACAGGGCUUCCAAGACAAUGCCAUGGCCAGAAAAAUGUUCAUGAUGAGUAUACAAAGUGUGUGGCACCAAAUCAACAGAAAAAUUAUGAUCAAGCUCAAAAACUUUCUAAUUGUCCAAACAUCAACACAAAUGUGAAACAGUAACCAUCACUGUGCAUGGGAAAAUUGAAUUCUGCUAAUGACAAGCAUAGAAAAAUAACAGAACCUCUAAUUGAUCAGUCUAAGAGAAUGAGAACAACACAGAUAAUCAUGACCAACCAAAU